This 849-nucleotide ribosomal RNA is filed under the name uncultured bacterium. RNAcentral describes it as "bacterial SSU rRNA". It matches the Rfam family "Bacterial small subunit ribosomal RNA", at positions 1 to 859 of the family's 1533-position model. The record is from RNAcentral.
UAGAGUUUGAUCCUGGCUCAGGAUGAACGCUAGCGGGAGGCCUAACACAUGCAAGCCGAGCGGUAUUUGUCUUUCGGGACAGAGAGAGCGGCGUACGGGUGCGGAACACGUGUGCAACCUGCCUUUAUCAGGGGGAUAGCCUUUCGAAAGGAAGAUUAAUACCCCAUAAUAUUUUGGAUGGCAUCAUUUAAAAUUGAAAACUCCGGUGGAUAGAGAUGGGCACGCGCAAGAUUAGAUAGUUGGUAGGGUAACGGCCUACCAAGUCAAUGAUCUUUAGGGGGCCUGAGAGGGUGAUCCCCCACACUGGUACUGAGACACGGACCAGACUCCUACGGGAGGCAGCAGUGAGGAAUAUUGGACAAUGGGUUAGCGCCUGAUCCAGCCAUCCCGCGUGAAGGACGACGGCCCUAUGGGUUGUAAACUUCUUUUGUACAGGGAUAAACCUAUUUACGUGUAAAUAGCUGAAGGUACUGUACGAAUAAGCACCGGCUAACUCCGUGCCAGCAGCCGCGGUAAUACGGAGGGUGCAAGCGUUAUCCGGAUUUAUUGGGUUUAAAGGGUCCGUAGGCGGAUCUGUAAGUCAGUGGUGAAAUCUCACAGCUUAACUGUGAAACUGCCAUUGAUACUGCAGGUCUUGAGUAAGGUAGAAGUGGCUGGAAUAAGUAGUGUAGCGGUGAAAUGCAUAGAUAUUACUUAGAACACCAAUUGCGAAGGCAGGUCACUAUGUCUUAACUGACGCUGAUGGACGAAAGCGUGGGGAGCGAACAGGAUUAGAUACCCUGGUAGUCCACGCCGUAAACGAUGCUAACUCGUUUUUGGGUUUUCGGAUUCAGAGACUAAGCGAAAGUG